This 253-nucleotide ribosomal RNA is filed under the name uncultured bacterium. RNAcentral's name for it is "partial 16S ribosomal RNA". It matches the Rfam family "Bacterial small subunit ribosomal RNA", at positions 524 to 776 of the family's 1533-position model. The record is from RNAcentral.
UACAGAGGUGGCAAGCGUUGUUCGGAAUUACUGGGCGUAAAGGGCGCGUAGGCGGUUCGAUAAGUCCCGUGUGAAAUCCCUCGGCUCAACUGAGGAACUGCACGGGAAACUGACGGGCUUGAGUUCGGGAGAGGGAUGCGGAAUUCCAGGUGUAGCGGUGAAAUGCGUAGAUAUCAGGAAGAACACCCGUGGCGAAGGCGGCUCUCUGGGACGGUACUGACGCUGAGACGCGAAAGCGUGGGGAGCGAACAGG